AACGAACGCUGGCGGCAUGCCUAACACAUGCAAGUCGAACGAGAUCUUCGGGUCUAGUGGCGCACGGGUGCGUAACGCGUGGGAAUCUGCCCUUUGGUUCGGAAUAACAGUUGGAAACGACUGCUAAUACCGGAUGAUGACGAAAGUCCAAAGAUUUAUCGCCAGAGGAUGAGCCCGCGUAGGAUUAGCUAGUAGGUGUGGUAAAGGCGCACCAAGGCGACGAUCCUUAGCUGGUCUGAGAGGAUGAUCAGCCACACUGGGACUGAGACACGGCCCAGACUCCUACGGGAGGCAGCAGUGGGGAAUAUUGGACAAUGGGCGAAAGCCUGAUCCAGCAAUGCCGCGUGAGUGAUGAAGGCCUUAGGGUUGUAUAGCUCUUUUACCCGGGAUGAUAAUGACAGUACCGGGAGAAUAAGCUCCGGCUAACUCCGUGCCAGCAGCCGCCGUAA
RNAcentral lists this ribosomal RNA (449 nucleotides) under uncultured bacterium. RNAcentral describes it as "partial 16S ribosomal RNA". It matches the Rfam family "Bacterial small subunit ribosomal RNA", at positions 29 to 523 of the family's 1533-position model. The record is from RNAcentral.